AAAACAUUUUCAAAAAUUUCCCCAAAAUGUUGAAAAUGUGGACCUCAGAAAUUUCACUGUGGAUAUAUACAUUUUUUCCCCAUUUUCAAACUUUAAAACGGGUCAGUUUGACCCGCAGGACGACGCGAGGGUUAAAACAUUCCAAAACAGUCCUGAAAUAUGUUGGAUUUAAGCUGAAAAUAUGCUGGGCAGUAAAAACCAGCCAGAAUCACGUCCAGUUAGAGGAAUGUUGAUUAAAGUUUACACAUUUUUUGGUCAUUAUGUUGCAGUAGAUAAGAGUGUUUCUGCUCUAGCCCACUGAUAUUAAGGUGUUUUCAGUAUUUGUGCACCUUUUUCAGUUUGCAUUUCUUGUGAUUCUGAGAAUAUUGGAGUCUUUUGCAUGUCCUUUGUCUCACAAUCAGGCUUUGAAUGUUGGAUUUUGUGGAGACUUUGGAUGGUUUCAUGUUUUCCUGCAGCCUUCCAGUUAAAGUUCUGAAGUUGAGACGUAAAACAAAGCUCAACAUUACUCGUAAAUGUCAGUAGAAGACAGCAUGAAGUGCAGUGAGUGUUCUGUCCUCCAGCUGGCCUCUCCUGUCGCCAUACAUUCCUAUAAGCCUCCGUCUGCGCUCAGCUGCGCGGAGGAGGAGCGUUAACGGGGCCGGUAAGCGAGGCGGACAUGGCGGCGCAUAGUCCAGCGGAUUCCUGCCGGCCUUUUAGAGGCUGUUUGUCCGUUUGCAUGCUGCAGGAUGUUUAGAUGAAAGCACCGGGAGUCGUGGUUCGGAGAUGCCGCCCGCUCGGUGCGUAAAGCUGCCACUCGGUGUCGGAUGAAGUUUCCAGGCACAACUCCAGAACAGGGCGGCUGUUUCAGAGGAACUAAGGGAAGUUUAUUGCUGAUUUACGCACCAACUUCCAGCUGACCUUGACCGCAUCUACUGACUGUUAUCAGACCUGCAGGGAUUCACAGGGAGUUUCCAGACAAAAGGGUGAAACUUGCACCAAGUUAGUUUUAAAAAUACAGACUUUUAUUUCAUGUUGGUCAGAUUUUAUGAAGUUUCUUACCUUAAUCCAGGGGUGUCAAACAUGAAGUCCGCAGGUCAAAUCCGGCCGCCAGAGGGUCCAAUCCGGCUCUCCAGAGUGUGGACUUUGUGUAAAAAUAGUGUAAAAAAAAUGCAAAAAUUACAAAGAACACAUUAACUGCAAAUAUUACAUUAGUCAAACUGUAAAUAAUUUCUAGAUCUUGACAAAUAAAUCCUAAAGUACAACACUGUCAUUGUUGUCAUUUUGUGUCUCACUUUAGUAACAUUUUGUCUUGUUUUUGUCAUUUUUUUGUCUGACUUUUGUCAUUUGUCUCAUUUUUGGCAUUCUGUGUGUCAUUUUUGGAAUAUUUUGCCAAAUUAUUGUAGUUUUUUUCUCAUUUUUGUCAUUUUGCAUCUCAUGUUGGGAUUAUUUUGUCUUGUUUUUGUUGUUUUUUGUCUUUUUCUUUGUCUGACUUUUGUCAUUUUGAUCAUAAAGUAAAAUACUAUAUCAACCAGUUCCAGAUACAUGUGACUAAAUGUUUUGUUUAUCUGUAGACACUGUGAUCUCUAAGUUCUAAUGUGUAAAUGAUAAACUGAGGCAUAAUGUUGUUGAAACUGAAUGUAAUUUUCUUAAGAAAUUUCAGGUUGUUCAUGAUGUUUUGUAAAAAGAUAAUUCCUUAAAUGUUGUUGUGCUCUGAUUUAACUGGUCUGGCUCACUUGAGGUCAAAUUGGGCUGAAUGUGGCUCCUGAACUAAAGUACGCUGCUGCUCGUCUCUGGACUUGCUGUGUCCACAGUUGCAGCUCCUGCGCCUGGAUUAAAGCCCUGCUGAUAUCCCUGGUGUCCCGCUGCUUCUGUGAACAACACUGAACAUCAGAGCUGCAGCACCCAGUUAAUGCUGGAUGGAAACACUUUCUGCUGCCAGGAGACCACUUCAGCUCGCUGCCACCCAGGACCACCCAGUAGAUAUGGAGGCUCCACAGCUCAUUACUGUACGGUGUUCUGCAGAUUUAGAUCUGCUGUGUUUAUCUUCAUGCAGGUGAUUCAGAGCCAAGAUGCUGCAGGAGGAAUUCAAGUGUCGAUUUAGCUUUAAGUGUUAAAUCACACAAUCUGUUGUGUUUAUUACUGUGUUUGAAGAACCGUCUAGUCUGUACAUGAAACAUGCAUCAAAUCUGAAUGUUUUCUGUGAAAACAUGAAGGAAAGACAACCAAAAAAAAUAAGGAA
Long non-coding RNA from Amphiprion ocellaris (clown anemonefish), 2218 nucleotides. Lineage: Eukaryota; Metazoa; Chordata; Actinopteri; Pomacentridae. The record is from Ensembl.